This 381-nucleotide ribosomal RNA is filed under the name Triticum aestivum (bread wheat). Its description in RNAcentral is "partial small subunit ribosomal RNA". The record is from RNAcentral. Lineage: Eukaryota; Viridiplantae; Streptophyta; Magnoliopsida; Poales; Poaceae.
AUGCAAGAUCAGAUCGGCCUGGACCUGGACGGCUUCCCGCUCGACCACGAGUUCCCGGAGGACUACGACCUCGAGGAAGAUGAUGAGUUGGACAUCAACGGGGAGCCUUUGUUCGAGGACGAGCUCGCAAACCAAGUGGCCGAGGUGAAGCCGAAGCGCAAGAGCAAGCGAACGAAGGCAUACAUGCCGGCCGAUGACAAGCUCCUUUGUGAGUGUUGGAGGGACGUUGGGCAAGACCCCAAGGUUGGCGCCGAACAGAAGGCAUCAACCUUUUGGAUUCGUGUCCAUCAUGAGUUCCAUGAACGCAAGAAGUUUGCACCGUACCAAAUGCAUAGCACGCGCGGGUGGUUGUCCAUUUCUAAGCGAUGGAGAGUGAUAUAA